GAAAAUGGCGCCAAAGAAGCAAAAAAGUAGAAAGGUGGCGUCGAGGGAGUAGAAAGUGAACUGGGGAGUUGCAAAUUUAAAGCCCUAAAUUAUUGAAAGCCAUUUUAACUUCUUUGUGCUGCCCAUCUUUUCUUAAAAAACAAAAAUUGUUGGUUGCCCUUUUCUACCUUCUUUGCUUCCUUGCAUUUUCACCUGUUGCAGACAAAAAUAAAGUUUGUUGUAUUCAACACACAAAACUUUUAUCUGAGUUGGUUGCAAAAUUUCAACAUGGUAGUGAAACUAGAAAUUUCUCUAGUAGUGUUCUCGUCAUAAUUUCUGUUGUCAUGUUGUAAUUUUUUUCCACUCCUUUGUUCAUGUGUGUGUUUUUGAGAUUGCAUUCUUCAUUCCCCAUUAUGCUGACUCUCAAUGCUCAUCAUCUGACUUGAAGGUUGUCAGAAACUGAAUUCUUUUCGCAGUCGUACCAAGUCUGGCAAUGGGUAGUUAGUUAAAUAAGCUUUUGAUAUUGCUUUUGCAGUACAGGUGCUUUGCCAGUUUACACUGUGAUCGGCUAUUUUCUUGGUCACGGGGAGUCUGGACCAGCAUGAAGCAUUACACUGUGAUAGCAAG
This 606-nucleotide long non-coding RNA is filed under the name Capsicum annuum. RNAcentral describes it as "long non-coding RNA (CANN_LNC007274)". Lineage: Eukaryota; Viridiplantae; Streptophyta; Magnoliopsida; Solanales; Solanaceae. The record is from RNAcentral.